GGGGAUCGAAAGACCUUGCGCUAAAGGAGCGGCCGAUGUCUGAUUAGCUAGUUGGUGGGGUAAAGGCUUACCAAGGCAACGAUCAGUAGUUGGUCUGAGAGGACGGCCAACCACACUGGGACUGAGACACGGCCCAGACUCCUACGGGAGGCAGCAGUGGGGAAUUUUGGACAAUGGGCGAAAGCCUGAUCCAGCCAUGCCGCGUGAGUGAAGAAGGCCUUCGGGUUGUAAAGCUCUUUUAGUCGGAAAGAAAGAGUCGCAAUGAAUAAUUGUGAUUUAUGACGGUACCGACAGAAAAAGCACCGGCUAACUACGUGCCAGCAGCCGCGGUAAUACGUAGGGUGCGAGCGUUAAUCGGAAUUACUGGGCGUAAAGGGUGCGCAGGCGGUUUUGCAAGUCAGAUGUGAAAGCCCCGGGCUUAACCUGGGAAUUGCGUUUGAAA
Molecule: ribosomal RNA, 442 nt
Filed under: uncultured bacterium
Lineage: Bacteria
Description: bacterial SSU rRNA
Rfam family: Bacterial small subunit ribosomal RNA
Source: RNAcentral